CAUAGUAAGCACCCAUGUGUUGAAAACACAUAUUGAAAUGGCACAAUCGACCUGCCGCCCAACGAAUGUGAGGGGCGAUACCAAAC
Molecule: small RNA, 86 nt
Filed under: unclassified sequences
Description: GA-cis RNA
Rfam family: GA-cis RNA
Source: Rfam by way of RNAcentral